UUCUGGAGUUUGGCAGAGGGGGGUGGAAUUCCACGUGUAGCAGUGAAAUGCGUAGAGAUGUGGAGGAACACCAAUGGCGAAGGCAGCCCCCUGGGUCGAUACUGACGCUCAUGCACGAAAGCGUGGGUAGCAAACAGGAUUAGAUACCCUGGUAGUCCACGCCCUAAACGAUGUCAACUAGGUGUUGGGAGGGUAAAACCUUUUAGUGCCGUAGCUAAC
This 219-nucleotide ribosomal RNA is filed under the name uncultured Candidatus Accumulibacter sp. RNAcentral's name for it is "partial 16S ribosomal RNA". It matches the Rfam family "Bacterial small subunit ribosomal RNA", at positions 639 to 856 of the family's 1533-position model. Lineage: Bacteria; Pseudomonadati; Pseudomonadota; Betaproteobacteria. The record is from RNAcentral.